Molecule: non-coding RNA, 531 nt
Organism: Jatropha curcas
Lineage: Eukaryota; Viridiplantae; Streptophyta; Magnoliopsida; Malpighiales; Euphorbiaceae
Source: RefSeq, a predicted model, not a curated record
GGAAAAUGUAAUAACUAUUAGUAAAUAUUACAUAUCUAACAGGAAAACUUGCGGUUAUUAUUGCUUCUAUACCGUUGCCAAUUGUGGGGGCUCUAUACAUUGCUUUCUUCCCCUAUGUGGUGGCAGGAGGUGUUGAUGAUUUCAUCUUAUGCGAAUUGAAAAGCUUAAGGCCAAAGGCUCUUUUGGGUUUUUCCCUCUUUAUGGGUCUCUCUGCGACUCAGUAUUUCGGUGACUAUGAUUUAUUUUCGACAAAUGGCCUUCCUCAAACCAGCACUAAUUGGUUCAAAAUCAUACUGGAGGUUAUUUUGUCAUCUCCAGCAACAUUUGGCACUAUCAUAGCUUUCCUUUUUCAUUGCACAUCUAAACCACCACCAUCAACCAAGGAGGUGCCGACAGUGGGAUCACCCAAGAAGGCAGAUUUAAAUGUACUAACACUCGUGAAGGCGAAGGAGAAGAAGGCAGAAGAUGAGGAGGAGGAGCUGAAGAAAAAAAUCCGACUUGAGAUUAAACAAACCUAUAAACGGCCUUCUA